GACGAACGCUGGCGGCGUGCCUAAUACAUGCAAGUAGAACGCUGAAGGAGGAGCUUGCUCUUCUGGAUGAGUUGCGAACGGGUGAGUAACGCGUAGGUAACCUGCCUGGUAGCGGGGGAUAACUAUUGGAAACGAUAGCUAAUACCGCAUAAGAGUAGAUGUUGCAUGACAUUUGCUUAAAAGGUGCAAUUGCAUCACUGCCAGAUGGACCUGCGUUGUAUUAGCUAGUUGGUGGGGUAACGGCUCACCAAGGCGACGAUACAUAGCCGACCUGAGAGGGUGAUCGGCCACACUGGGACUGAGACACGGCCCAGACUCCUACGGGAGGCAGCAGUAGGGAAUCUUCGGCAAUGGACGGAAGUCUGACCGAGCAACGCCGCGUGAGUGAAGAAGGUUUUCGGAUCGUAAAGCUCUGUUGUAAGAGAAGAACGAGUGUGAGAGUGGAAAGUUCACACUGUGACGGUAUCUUACCAGAAAGGGACGGCUAACUACGUG
This 495-nucleotide ribosomal RNA is filed under the name uncultured bacterium. RNAcentral describes it as "partial 16S ribosomal RNA". It matches the Rfam family "Bacterial small subunit ribosomal RNA", at positions 28 to 507 of the family's 1533-position model. The record is from RNAcentral.